RNAcentral lists this ribosomal RNA (253 nucleotides) under uncultured bacterium. RNAcentral's name for it is "partial 16S ribosomal RNA". It matches the Rfam family "Bacterial small subunit ribosomal RNA", at positions 524 to 776 of the family's 1533-position model. The record is from RNAcentral.
UACGUAGGGUCCAAGCGUUAAUCGGAAUUACUGGGCGUAAAGCGUGCGCAGGCGGUCUCGCAAGUCCGAUGUGAAAUCCCCGGGCUUAACCUGGGAACUGCGUUGGAAACUAUGAGGCUCGAGUGCGGCAGAGGGGGGUGGAAUUCCACGUGUAGCAGUGAAAUGCGUAGAGAUGUGGAGGAACACCGAUGGCGAAGGCAGCCCCCUGGGUUAGCACUGACGCUCAUGCACAAAAGCGUGGGGAGCAAACAGG